UCCCACCAGGCAGAUGGCUGUAACACACAGAGAUCAGCAGAUAUCCAGGGGUUAGUUAUAGUGUAGGUUAUAGGGGUUAGUUAUAGUGUAGGUUAUAGGGGUUAGUUAUAUGGUAGGUUAUAGGGGUUAGUUAUAGGGUAGGUUAUAGGGGUUAGUUAUAGUGUAGGUUAUAGGGGUUAGUUAUAGUGUAGGUUAUAGGGGUUAGUUAUAGUGUAGGUUAUAGGGGUUAGUUAUAGGGUAGGUUAUAGGGGUUAGUUAUAGGGUAGGUUAUAGGGGUUAGUUAUAGUGUAGGUUAUAGGGGUUAGUUAUAGUGUAGGUUAUAGGGGUUAGUUAUAUGGUAGGUUAUAGGGGUUAGUUAUAGGGUAGGUUAUAGGGGUUAGUUAUAGUGUAGGUUAUAGGGGUUAGUUAUAGUGUAGGUUAUAGGGGUUAGUUAUAGUGUAGGUUAUAGGGGUUAGUUAUAGUGUAGGUUAUAGGGGUUAGUUAUAGUGUAGGUUAUAGGGGUUAGUUAUAGGGUAGGUUAUAGGGGUUAGUUAUAGUGUAGGUUAUAGGGGUUAGUUAUAGGGUAGGUUAUAGGGGUUAGUUAUAGGGUAGGUUAUAGGGGUUAGUUAUAGGGUGGGUUAUAGGGGUUAGUUAUAGUGUAGGUUAUAGGGGUUAGUUAUAGUGUAGGUUAUAGGGGUUAGUUAUAGUGUAGGUUAUAGGGGUUAGUUAUAGGGUAGGUUAUAGGGGUUAGUUAUAGUGUAGGUUAUAGGGGUUAGUUAUAGUGUAGGUUAUAGGGGUUAGUUAUAGGGUAGGUUAUAGGGGUUAGUUAUAGUGUAGGUUAUAGGGGUUAGUUAUAGUGUAGGUUAUAGGGGUUAGUUAGAGUGUAGGUUAUAGGGGUUAGUUAUAGGGUAGGUUAUAGGGGUUAGUUAUAGGGUAGGUUAUAAUGGUUAAUUAUAGUGUAGGUUAUAGGGGUUAGAUAUAGUGUAGGUUAUAGGGGUUAGUUAUAGGGUAGGUUAUAGGGGUUAGUUAUAGUGGAGGUUAUAUGGGUUAGUUAUAGUGUAGGGGUUAAUUAUAGUGUAGGUUAUAGGGGUUAGUUAUAGGGUAGGUUAUAGUUGUUAGUUAUAGUGUAGGGGUUAGUUAUAGUUUAGGUUAUAGGGGUUAGAGACAGACAGAGAGAGAGGGCGAGAGAGAGAGAGAGAGAGAGAUAGAGAGAGAGAGACAGAGAGAGAGGGAGACAGAGAGUGAGAGACAGAGUGAGAGACAGAGAGUGAGAGACAGAGAGUGAGAGACAGAGUGAGAGACAGAGUGAGAGACAGAGAGAAAAAGAGAGACAGAGAGAAAAAGAGAGACAGAGAGAAAAAGAGAGACAGAGAUAGAUCUUUCUAUACUACGACGAUAGUUGGGUACGUAACGUGAUCGAAGCCCCUGAUCAGGAUUUGU
This is a long non-coding RNA of Oncorhynchus keta (chum salmon), 1419 nucleotides long. RefSeq lists it as uncharacterized. The transcript is spliced from 4 exons. The record is from RefSeq and is a predicted model, not a curated record. Lineage: Eukaryota; Metazoa; Chordata; Actinopteri; Salmoniformes; Salmonidae.